GUCAUGUGCCAGGUAGCUGAUAUCGAGCGCUGCAUUGACGGUUGGACGCGGUGCGCCGUCGAAAGCGAUGCCGGGCACGCUGUCGGGCGUGAUCUUGA
RNAcentral lists this small RNA (98 nucleotides) under Sinorhizobium meliloti 2011. RNAcentral's name for it is "putative ncRNA". The record is from RNAcentral. Lineage: Bacteria; Pseudomonadati; Pseudomonadota; Alphaproteobacteria; Hyphomicrobiales; Rhizobiaceae.